RNAcentral lists this ribosomal RNA (1454 nucleotides) under metagenome. RNAcentral's name for it is "bacterial SSU rRNA". It matches the Rfam family "Bacterial small subunit ribosomal RNA". The record is from RNAcentral.
AGAGUUUGAUCCUGGCUCAGGACGAACGCUGGCGGCACGCUUAACACAUGCAAGUCGAACGAGAGAAGAGGAGCUUGCUUUUCUGAUCUAGUGGCGGACGGGUGAGUAACACGUGAGCAAUCUGCCUUUCAGAGGGGGAUACCGAUUGGAAACGAUCGUUAAUACCGCAUAACAUAAUUGAACCGCAUGAUUUGAUUAUCAAAGAUUUAUCGCUGAAAGAUGAGCUCGCGUCUGAUUAGCUAGUUGGUAAGGUAACGGCUUACCAAGGCGACGAUCAGUAGCCGGACUGAGAGGUUGAUCGGCCACAUUGGGACUGAGACACGGCCCAGACUCCUACGGGAGGCAGCAGUGGGGAAUAUUGCACAAUGGAGGAAACUCUGAUGCAGCGAUGCCGCGUGAGGGAAGAAGGUUUUAGGAUUGUAAACCUCUGUCUUCAGGGACGAAAAAAGACGGUACCUGAGGAGGAAGCUCCGGCUAACUACGUGCCAGCAGCCGCGGUAAUACGUAGGGAGCGAGCGUUGUCCGGAAUUACUGGGUGUAAAGGGAGCGUAGGCGGGAUCGCAAGUCAGAUGUGAAAACUAUGGGCUUAACCCAUAAACUGCAUUUGAAACUGUGGUUCUUGAGUGAAGUAGAGGUAAGCGGAAUUCCUAGUGUAGCGGUGAAAUGCGUAGAUAUUAGGAGGAACAUCAGUGGCGAAGGCGGCUUACUGGGCUUUAACUGACGCUGAGGCUCGAAAGCGUGGGGAGCAAACAGGAUUAGAUACCCUGGUAGUCCACGCCGUAAACGAUGAUUACUAGGUGUGGGGGGACUGACCCCUUCCGUGCCGCAGCAAACGCAAUAAGUAAUCCACCUGGGGAGUACGACCGCAAGGUUGAAACUCAAAGGAAUUGACGGGGGCCCGCACAAGCAGUGGAGUAUGUGGGUUAAUUCGAAGCAACGCGAAGAACCUUACCAGGUCUUGACAUCGUAUGCAUAGCUCAGAGAUGAGUGAAAUCUCUUCGGAGACAUAUAGACAGGUGGUGCAUGGUUGUCGUCAGCUCGUGUCGUGAGAUGUUGGGUUAAGUCCCGCAACGAGCGCAACCCUUACUGUUAGUUGCUACGCAAGAGCACUCUAGCAGGACUGCCGUUGACAAAACGGAGGAAGGUGGGGAUGACGUCAAAUCAUCAUGCCCCUUAUGACCUGGGCCUCACACGUACUACAAUGGCUGUCAACAGAGGGAAGCAAAGCCGCGAGGUGGAGCGAACCCCUAAAAGCAGUCUUAGUUCGGAUUGUAGGCUGCAACCCGCCUACAUGAAGUCGGAAUUGCUAGUAAUCGCAGAUCAGCAUGCUGCGGUGAAUACGUUCCCGGGCCUUGUACACACCGCCCGUCACGCCAUGGGAGUCGGUAACACCCGAAGCCUGUAGUCUAACCGCAAGGAGGACGCAGUCGAAGGUGGGAUUGAUGACUGGGGUG